Cynocephalus volans (Philippine flying lemur) is the source of this 191-nucleotide small nuclear RNA. RefSeq annotates it as U2 spliceosomal RNA. The transcript has a single exon. The record is from RefSeq and is a predicted model, not a curated record. Lineage: Eukaryota; Metazoa; Chordata; Mammalia; Dermoptera; Cynocephalidae.
AUCACUUCUUGGCCUUUUAGCUAAGAUCAAGUGUACUAUCUGUUCUUAUCAGUUUAAUAUCUGAUAUAUCCUCCUUCCAAGGACAAUAUAUUAAAUGGAUUUUUGGAAUAAGGACGUAGAAUAGGAGCUUGCUCUAUCCCCUGUAUGCAUCUACUUGUUACUGAAGUACCUCCAGGAACAGUGCACCCCCU